This 495-nucleotide ribosomal RNA is filed under the name uncultured bacterium. RNAcentral's name for it is "partial 16S ribosomal RNA". It matches the Rfam family "Bacterial small subunit ribosomal RNA", at positions 28 to 507 of the family's 1533-position model. The record is from RNAcentral.
GACGAACGCUGGCGGCGUGCCUAAUACAUGCAAGUAGAACGCUGAAGGAGGAGCUUGCUUCUCUGGAUGAGUUGCGAACGGGUGAGUAACGCGUAGGUAACCUGCCUGGUAGCGGGGGAUAACUAUUGGAAACGAUAGCUAAUACCGCAUAAUAUUGACUAUUGCAUGAUAGUCAGUUGAAAGGUGCAACUGCACCACUACCAGAUGGACCUGCGUUGUAUUAGCUAGUUGGUGGGGUAACGGCUCACCAAGGCGACGAUACAUAGCCGACCUGAGAGGGUGAUCGGCCACACUGGGACUGAGACACGGCCCAGACUCCUACGGGAGGCAGCAGUAGGGAAUCUUCGGCAAUGGACGGAAGUCUGACCGAGCAACGCCGCGUGAGUGAAGAAGGUUUUCGGAUCGUAAAGCUCUGUUGUAAGAGAAGAACGAGUGUGAGAGUGGAAAGCUCACACUGUGACGGUAGCUUACCAGAAAGGGACGGCUAACUACGUG